Molecule: ribosomal RNA, 492 nt
Filed under: uncultured bacterium
Lineage: Bacteria
Description: partial 16S ribosomal RNA
Rfam family: Bacterial small subunit ribosomal RNA
Source: RNAcentral
AGUGAACGCUGGCGGUAGGCCUAACACAUGCAAGUCGAACGGCAGCACAGUAAGAGCUUGCUCUUACGGGUGGCGAGUGGCGGACGGGUGAGGAAUACAUCGGAAUCUACUUUUUCGUGGGGGAUAACGUAGGGAAACUUACGCUAAUACCGCAUUCGACCUACGGGUGAAAGCAGGGGAUCUUCGGACCUUGCGCGAUUGAAUGAGCCGAUGUCGGAUUAGCUAGUUGGCGGGGUAAAGGCCCACCAAGGCGACGAUCCGUAGCUGGUCUGAGAGGAUGAUCAGCCACACUGGAACUGAGACACGGUCCAGACUCCUACGGGAGGCAGCAGUGGGGAAUAUUGGACAAUGGGCGCAAGCCUGAUCCAGCCAUACCGCGUGGGUGAAGAAGGCCUUCGGGUUGUAAAGCACUUUUGUUGGGAAAGAAAAGCAGCAGGUUAAUACCCCGCUGUUCUGACGGUACCCAAAGAAUAAGCACCGGCUAACUUCGUG